This 672-nucleotide long non-coding RNA is filed under the name Homo sapiens (human). RNAcentral describes it as "long non-coding RNA NONHSAT176570.1". Lineage: Eukaryota; Metazoa; Chordata; Mammalia; Primates; Hominidae. The record is from RNAcentral.
ACCUCCUGGGUCCUUAAAAUCGAGUCCUGAGUUCCAGAGGGGUCACUGCAAGGCAGCAGGGAAGGGAGAGGGUCACAGUUUCACUCUGUGAGUAUCAGACACCCAGGGCCAAGGCCCAGACUGGCCUCUGAAGCUACAGGUUAGAGUCUGGGUACAGGAGGCAGCCGAGAUGGUCCCUGAGAACAGACAGUCCCGGUCCCCCGGAGCAAGCUCCAUCCUCUGCAGAGCUGUGAGGUCAGUGCCCCACAUCCUGGGGCAACGUGAAGUCCCUGAAGCUGUAGAAGGAGAUGUCACCAUGAUCCACCAGGGCAAAGAUCAGAGGGACAUCCCCACUCUGGAGCCAGUUCCUAACCACCAACUCCUGGCGGUCAAGGUACUGCAGAGACGGCACUGCUUGGAAACUUACCGGGCACCUCCAUCAGGAAGGUGUGUUGUCUGCAGCACAGAGAUAUGCUGAAGGACCACGGCUACAAGGACACAGAAAACAAGCUGGAGCACCGCUGCACCUCGGGAUCGGCGUUGACAUCUUCCUGGAACUGCGCGGCCUCCGCGUGGUGCUCCCGUUCCCGCCUGGAGAGCUUCUCCUUGCGCUGGUUCAGCUUCUGGCACCAGGACUCAGCGUCUGUCUCCCGCCCAGCCACGUUGGCCGGGAGCAGCUCUGGGGCUGGGGCG